GGAUUUCGAAGACUUGGAGACCAUCGUCGCCGGGUUUGGUGGCCGUGGAAAGGCAGGUAGCAUACACCUAGCUCGUAAAUUACUUCUUUCAUCCCAAAUUGCAUGUCAUUUAUUUUAGGUGUUCAAUAAGAUAAUAGAUGGAUUAGCUUAGUGGAUCCAGAUAGAUCCUUAGAAGAGUGAAAAAAACAAUCAUGUCUAAUGGCUGCCUUAUGGGCUUUGGAACAUUGACAAGACUUUGCUCCAUCAUGACUAGUUAGAUCAUCAUUAUUGGGGGUUAGGUGGAGGUGGAGGGGCAUCCAUCGUAUCUCUCAUCUAUGUCAUUAGUAAAGGUUAUUAUAUAGUAAAUUAAUAGAUUGCACAAUCAGAACUAAUUUAACAAAUAAAUUAUAAUUUAUUGUUAAGAAAUUUGUAUACGUACUCUGAAUUGGUAGUCAGUUAUACGCUUGGGACCUACGAAACCAUGGAUGAACUCACAUACGUAGUAUCCGCAUAAAUUAUUCCCCGGAUUCCAUCUCAAAUACUAUAUAUAUGGUAAAAGAAGUUAUAAAAUAUUUGUUAUGUUCAAGGAAGUGUCACGAGAUGUAGAAAUUCAAUACACACCGGGAAUUCAGACUUGAAAUCAAGUUCCUCCUUUAAUUCAGUUGCAUGAUGUUGACGAAGCAUUGCUCUCUCCCACUUGCUCAUUUUUGGCUUAUGAUGAGGGCCAACUAUGGUUUUCCCCUUGUUGCAAGAGGAACGACGAUCGCCCCCACCAUCACCACUACCUCCAGCAGCAGUAGCCAUCUCUAUGUACUACAAUUUAUUUAGCAUUGCAAAUGACUAAACUAUGAACAAAUUAUAUUUUUUCCCACAAUUUAUUUAGCUCAAACAUAAUAUAUAAAUGAAAAGUUUCUCCAUUGUAGCUUAUUCUAAAAAUGACUCAUUACACACCUCUAUUUCAUCUUGUUAUCUAUAUGUAGCACAAUUUAUCUCGCUCGUAUUUGCGAAUGACUAAAAUAUAAACAAAUUAUAUUUUUCCCCAUAAGUUAUUUAGCUCGUAUUUGUAAAGGACUAAACUAUGAAAUUAUUCCUCUAAUCUCAUAUCAAUUUCUUUUGACUAAUACGAAAUAUAGGAUCCAAAAAAUUGUAGCUUAUUCUAACAAUCACAAAUAUGAGAUCUAAGUAACACAUGCAUAUAAAUGAAAAUUUUCUCCAUUGUACCAUAUUCUAAAAAUCAUAAAUUACUCUAGCUCUAAAGUAUAAAACUUAGUAUACUAACCAUGUAUUAAGGGAGGAUGAAGUUUCUAACCUUUAGAACACUUGAAUGAGUGAAAUCCCCACGAAAUGGUCAAAAAUCCGGCAGCACCUUUCCUAUUUCGCCACGAAUGGAUGAAGCCUGAGCUAGAGGAAAUGGCUCGGGCAGGAGGAAGAAGAUGCCUGAUUUAAUAGGAGGGAAGUUAGUACAGGUUGGGAGCUCCAACGGGUACUAAAGGUCACCUAUUAGUACCGGGUGGCACCCAGUACUAAUGGGUGACCUUUAAUUUCGGUUGAAGCUCCCAACCGGUAUUAAAAGGGAUCAUGGGAGACUUCUAAGGAACUAGCUGUCAGACCCGAUACUAAUGCUCAUAUUAGUACCGCAUCAAAAACUGGUUAGCUAGGACUGAUGCGGUCACGUACACCACUCACCUCUAUCCUGUGCCACCUGAUACUAAUAGGUAACCUUUAGUAUCCUUUGAAGCUCCCAACCGGUACUCAAGGAGAUCACGGGACGCUCCUAGGAAACGAUACUAAUGCUCGUCAAAAACCAACCGGUUAGCUGGGACCGAUGCGGUCACGUACGCCACCCGCCUCUGUCCUGUAGCUCUCGCUACGGUCCAGUUCUGCAGUCGAUGGGCAGCACGGUGAUCCAUGUGCAUUUUGUCUCGCUCCUCCACCUCUGCAGACUGCAGUGGUACUUGGUACGUACGUUGCACCAGCAGUGACCAGUUGGUAGAUCAAUAAUCAAUCAGUCAAUCAUUGGAUCCGAUUCCACGGCCGUCAGCCGAAGCUAGGAACUGUAGGAGCCGGCCGGCCGGCCUGCCGCCGGCGGCCACAAGCUAGGUGUCGUAGGCGAGCAACUAUGCACGCAUGCGUGGAAGAUUGAAGGAGUUAAGGAAGCGGCCGGCCGGCCGGUCGGUCUUGCCGCCGGCCGCUUUUCCAUCACCACUCCAUAGCCGCCGCGCGCACACCGGCCGACGCAACAAACUUUCGAGGCCUGCCUUUUCUCGCGCCGUCACACCAAGACACACCGGCACGGUCCAAAAUGCCCGUAGAUUCUGUGGCACACGUAAUGCACGCGUGGAAACACUGUGCUAUAUACGACGCUUUAAUUUGCUGCUUUUUUUUGAUAAAAAACAUUUUACUGCUUGGAUUUAGGCUAAGUUUGGAACGCUAGCUUAUGGAACAGGUGUUGGCGUGCUUAGCGCAGUGACGUCAGUGAGGCGGUGACUAAACCACUGAAGUGGCAGCUGCUUUUGUUUUGACGACCGAGUGAAGAUCUCUGCACGGCUGCGCUCUGCUAGGCUCCGGCGACGGCAUCUCAUGGAAACCGCGCGUGAAUGAUUGGUUGACGCGAAA
This 2595-nucleotide long non-coding RNA is filed under the name Setaria italica (foxtail millet). RNAcentral describes it as "long non-coding RNA (SITA_LNC000982)". The record is from RNAcentral. Lineage: Eukaryota; Viridiplantae; Streptophyta; Magnoliopsida; Poales; Poaceae.